Molecule: long non-coding RNA, 1600 nt
Organism: Pangasianodon hypophthalmus (striped catfish)
Lineage: Eukaryota; Metazoa; Chordata; Actinopteri; Siluriformes; Pangasiidae
Exons: 3
Source: RefSeq, a predicted model, not a curated record
AAGAGGAAGCGCCAUAGCUUAGCUGGCUAGCGGGUGGCAAACCGCGGGCCGGCCCCUGGGCUUCGCCGGUCGGCGGGGUUUGGCUGUGCGGUCCCUGCAUGCUCUCGGGCUAGCCGCACACAGACUCAUGCACACUAGUGUGAAAUCCAGCAGGCUGUUAGCUGGAGAGCCGGGUCUGGAUGCGGCAUGGAAGGACUCAGGGUUGCUUUUUGGUAUAAUGUCGUGGCAAAUACUUCUGCAAAUCAGAAUAAGAAAAUGACUUACAAAGACAAGGGGUUCUGGAUGCCAAAAAUCAACAGAUAUUAUUGAAUCAAGCAGCAAAGCCGAGAUGGAGCAUCUGAUUUACAUAGUCGUGGCUCAUGCUUGUAUACAAUUCUAAAACAAUGAUCUCAGGUGGAGGUGCAUGGGACGCAGGGUCAUGAGGAAAAAGUCUGAAUAUGUCUGCACUAAGGUGUUCAAAGACCUAUCUGCUGUAGAAAAUGCUUGAUAAGUGUAAGACGUGGUUCGCCUCAUAGAAACAUGAAAAAAAAAUAUAUUCAAAUGGCUUAGAAUAAACAGGACUGAGCUGAUUCUCAGUACAACCCGAGCUUCUGCUUCUGUCUGACCAACUGACCAUAUUUGGACUAGGCCUCCUCCAACAGACCCUUUAACUAUUUAAGGCUCCAAACAUCUUGUUGCCAGCUGUUCAUUAAUGUAAGACGUAUUUAAGACUUAAUCCCUUCAGCAGUGAUGGAAAACAGAGUAGUUUAGAAUAAGGCCUUGUAUCCUCUUAGCCAUCAUGCAAAAGAGCCCAUGGGUCCUUGAGCUGGUUAUAGAAUAUAGCAGGAGUGAGUGAUUGACUGAACGGUUGAUUAAUUCACUGAUUGAUUUUUAUUUAUUUUAUUAUUUGUUUGUUUGUAUAUGUGAGUAAUUGCCAUCCUACUUGAGCACAUAACCACAAUACUGUGUGGAAAAUAUAUGAAUGACCAAACAAGACAUUCAUUUUCAGAAAAACACCAUAUCUAAAUAUUUUGGAAAAUUACCACUGAAAUGUUUUUUAGAACCUCUAAAGUUUCAAUAGCAUAUAUGAUGCGUAAUACAUACAGAAGGGAAAGAUUAACUUUAUAUGCAAUACAAAUCUUUGGUAUUCUAAAUAAAAUAAUAAACCAUUUCUUAAUUUUGAAACUUUGCUGAGGACACACAGCAAUGGUGUAAUGUUAUGUAUUUGCCUAAAAGGUCUUCAUCACUACGAAUCAUUGUACACUGGUGUUUCCCCCAUCCUCUCCUUCACCUAAUGGAAAGUGAAACACUCCAGGACCCAAUCCUUUUAAUGAAAAUACUGCAUUAAUUUUAUUUUGUGAUGUGUCAUUGUAAUUCAAGUGAUGGUUUUUAAUCUUCAGAUUGCCUCUGCACAAGGCAUUUCAGAAAUAUUUGGCAGCAGCCCAUCUUCCCCCUCCACCGUUUUACUGAAUGCCCGUCAAAGAUGAGCAUUAAAAAGGCCCGCUUUAUUUGAAUAAACUAUUCAGGGUUUUAAAAAGGCAUGGUGUAAGGUAUGUAAAUGGGAUGAAACAAAGUGGCCGUGUGUAGUUUCCAUGUCUGGAUGUUUCAAAGCAGUGCAUCU